This 779-nucleotide ribosomal RNA is filed under the name Cryptosporidium parvum. RNAcentral describes it as "SSU rRNA". It matches the Rfam family "Eukaryotic small subunit ribosomal RNA", at positions 237 to 1049 of the family's 1831-position model. Lineage: Eukaryota; Apicomplexa; Conoidasida; Eucoccidiorida; Cryptosporidiidae. The record is from RNAcentral.
AUAUAAUUGGUGACUCAUAAUAACUUUACGGAUCACAAUUAAUGUGACAUAUCAUUCAAGUUUCUGACCUAUCAGCUUUAGACGGUAGGGUAUUGGCCUACCGUGGCAAUGACGAGUAACGGGGAACUAGGGUUCGAUUCCGGAGAGGGAGCCUGAGAAACGGCUACCACAUCUAAGGAGGGCAGCAGGCGCGCAAAUUACCCAAUCCUAAUACAGGGAGGUAGUGACAAGAAAUAACAAUACAGGACUUUUUGGUUUUGUAAUUGCAAUGAGUUAAGUAUAAACCCCUUUACAAGUAUCAAUUGGAGGGCAAGUCUGGUGCCAGCAGCCGGGGUAAUUCCAGCUCCAAUAGCGUAUAUUAAAGUUGUUGCAGUUAAAAAGCUCGUAGUUGGAUUUCUGUUAAUAAUUUAUAUAAAAUAUUUUGAUGAAUGUUUAUAUAAUAUUAACAUAAUUCAUAUUACUAUUUUUUUUUUAGUAUAUGAAAUUUUACUUUGAAAAAAUUAGAGUGCUUAAAGCAGGCAUAUGCCUUGAAUACUCCAGCAUGGAAUAAUAUUAAAGAUUUUUAUCUUUUUUAUUGGUUCUAAGAUAAGAAUAAUGAUUAAUAGGGACAGUUGGGGGCAUUUGUAUUUAACAGUCAGAGGUGAAAUUCUUAGAUUUGUUAAAGACAAACUAAUGCGAAAGCAUUUGCCAAGGAUGUUUUCAUUAAUCAAGAACGAAAGUUAGGGGAUCGAAGACGAUCAGAUACCGUCGUAGUCUUAACCAUAAACUAUGCCAACUAG